UUAAGGUUUAAAAUUUGAAUCCUUAGUGAACUGCAGAGAUGAACUCCUUGAAAGAUUUACUAGUGAUUCUGUGGCUUCAGUUAAGCUGGGUGAGGAGCCAGCAGGUGGUGGAGCAGACUCCUGAAUCCCUCGUUGUUUCUGAAGGAACCACUGCGUCUCUCAGCUGCACUUAUAGUGACACUGCUUCUCAGUCCUUCUUGUGGUACAGACAGUAUUCUGGCAAAGGCCUUGAAUUGCUGAUGUUCAUAUACUCUACUGGUGACAAAGAAGAAGGAAGGUUUACAGCACAGCUCAAUAAAGCCAGCCGAAAUGUGUCCCUGCUCAUCAGAGACUCUCAGCCCAGUGACUCAGCCACCUACCUCUGCGCAUUAGAAAUUUUGAAUCAAAAGCACACUCUAGUAAAAUUUAAAAUUUCAAACUGA
Non-coding RNA from Microcebus murinus (gray mouse lemur), 422 nucleotides. The record is from the annotation of a RefSeq genome assembly. NCBI's taxonomy places the organism in Eukaryota, Metazoa, Chordata, Mammalia, Primates, Cheirogaleidae.